ACAAGCAGUGGGAGCACCUUUAUGGUGUGACUGCGUACCUUUUGUAUAAUGGGUCAGCGACUUAUAUUCUGUAGCAAGGUUAACCGUAUAGGGGAGCCGCAGGGAAACCGAGUCUUAACUGGGCGUUAAGUUGCAGGGUAUAGACCCGAAACCCGGUGAUCUAGCCAUGGGCAGGUUGAAGGUUGGGUAACACUAACUGGAGGACCGAACCGACUAAUGUUGAAAAAUUAGCGGAUGACUUGUGGCUGGGGGUGAAAGGCCAAUCAAACCGGGAGAUAGCUGGUUCUCCCCGAAAGCUAUUUAGGUAGCGCCUCGUGAA
RNAcentral lists this ribosomal RNA (319 nucleotides) under Klebsiella quasipneumoniae subsp. similipneumoniae. RNAcentral's name for it is "partial 23S ribosomal RNA". It matches the Rfam family "Bacterial large subunit ribosomal RNA", at positions 566 to 888 of the family's 2925-position model. Lineage: Bacteria; Pseudomonadati; Pseudomonadota; Gammaproteobacteria; Enterobacterales; Enterobacteriaceae. The record is from RNAcentral.